GGAAGUUAAGAAACUGUUUCUUAAUUUUUAACUAAAAAAGCUAAGAACUGGUUCUUAAAUAAGGACUUUAAGAACCGGUUCUUAAUUUUUUUAGUUAAAAGUUAAGAAACAUUUUUUUAAUUUUC
Molecule: microRNA precursor, 125 nt
Filed under: Brassica napus (rape)
Lineage: Eukaryota; Viridiplantae; Streptophyta; Magnoliopsida; Brassicales; Brassicaceae
Description: MIR9563 microRNA precursor family
Rfam family: MIR9563 microRNA precursor family
Source: Rfam by way of RNAcentral